Molecule: ribosomal RNA, 372 nt
Filed under: uncultured Glomeromycotina
Lineage: Eukaryota; Fungi; Glomeromycota
Description: eukaryotic LSU rRNA
Source: RNAcentral
UUGAAAGGGAAACGAUUGAAGUCAGUCGUACCUGCGGGUAAUCAGCCUUUUGGGCAUGAUUCUGUGGAGCGUGAGGAGUUAAACGCCUUCAUGCCUGCAUAUUCGUGUACUUUGGGUGUACUUGCCUGUGUGGUUAGUUAACAUCAAUUUUGGUUAUCAUAAAAUGGUUGGAGGAAUGUAGCUUCGAUUUCGAUUGAAGUGUUAUAGCCUUCGGCAGAUGUGAUGAUCGGGAUUGAGGAUUGCAACGGAUACCCUUCGGGGCUACCCGUCUGGUCUCUGAUCGUUGCUCUGGUGCCGAAAGCGUGCUUACGGUUAUCAAAGUCGAUGGUCAACAGGUUAGAACGGGUUAAAUUCGUUAAGGAUGUUGACGUA